This 2352-nucleotide ribosomal RNA is filed under the name Staphylococcus sp. HMSC14C01. RNAcentral describes it as "bacterial LSU rRNA". It matches the Rfam family "Bacterial large subunit ribosomal RNA", at positions 1 to 2349 of the family's 2925-position model. The record is from RNAcentral. Lineage: Bacteria; Bacillati; Bacillota; Bacilli; Caryophanales; Staphylococcaceae.
UUAGAUUAAGUUAUUAAGGGCGCACGGUGGAUGCCUUGGCACUAGAAGCCGAUGAAGGACGUUACUAACGACGAUAUGCUUUGGGUAGCUGUAAGUAAGCGUUGAUCCAGAGAUUUCCGAAUGGGGGAACCCAACACAAGUUAUGUUGUGUUAUCGACAAGUGAAUUCAUAGCUUGUCAGAAGGCAGACCCGGAGAACUGAAACAUCUUAGUACCCGGAGGAAGAGAAAGAAAAUUCGAUUCCCUGAGUAGCGGCGAGCGAAACGGGAAGAGCCCAAACCAAUAAGCUUGCUUAUUGGGGUUGUAGGACACUCUAUACGGAGUUACAAAGGAAUAUAUUAAACGAAUCAUCUGGAAAGUUGAAUCAAAGAAGGUAAUAAUCCUGUAGUUGAAAAUAUAUUCUCUCUUGAGUGGAUCCUGAGUACGACGGAGCACGUGAAAUUCCGUCGGAAUCUGGGAGGACCAUCUCCUAAGGCUAAAUACUCUCUAGUGACCGAUAGUGAACCAGUACCGUGAGGGAAAGGUGAAAAGUACCCCGGAAGGGGAGUGAAAGAGAACUUGAAACCGUGUGCUUACAAGUAGUCAGAGCCCGUUAAUGGGUGAUGGCGUGCCUUUUGUAGAAUGAACCGGCGAGUUACGAUCUGAUGCAAGGUUAAGCAGAAAAUGUGGAGCCGUAGCGAAAGCGAGUCUGAAUAGGGCGUAUAGUAUUUGGUCGUAGACCCGAAACCAGGUGAUCUACCCAUGGUCAGGUUGAAGUUCAGGUAACACUGAAUGGAGGACCGAACCGACUUACGUUGAAAAGUGAGCGGAUGAACUGUGGGUAGCGGAGAAAUUCCAAUCGAACUUGGAGAUAGCUGGUUCUCUCCGAAAUAGCUUUAGGGCUAGCCUCAAGUGAUGAUUAUUGGAGGUAGAGCACUGUUUGGACGAGGGGCCCCUCUCGGGUUACCGAAUUCAGACAAACUCCGAAUGCCAAUUAAUUUAACUUGGGAGUCAGAACAUGGGUGAUAAGGUCCGUGUUCGAAAGGGAAACAGCCCAGACCACCAGCUAAGGUCCCAAAAUAUAUGUUAAGUGGAAAAGGAUGUGGCGUUGCCCAGACAACUAGGAUGUUGGCUUAGAAGCAGCCAUCAUUUAAAGAGUGCGUAAUAGCUCACUAGUCGAGUGACACUGCGCCGAAAAUGUACCGGGGCUAAACAUAUUACCGAAGCUGUGGAUUGUCCUUUGGACAAUGGUAGGAGAGCGUUCUAAGGGCGUUGAAGCAUGAUCGCAAGGACAUGUGGAGCGCUUAGAAGUGAGAAUGCCGGUGUGAGUAGCGAAAGACGGGUGAGAAUCCCGUCCACCGAUUGACUAAGGUUUCCAGAGGAAGGCUCGUCCGCUCUGGGUUAGUCGGGUCCUAAGCUGAGGCCGACAGGCGUAGGCGAUGGAUAACAGGUUGAUAUUCCUGUACCACCUAUAAUCGUUUUAAUCGAUGGGGGGACGCAGUAGGAUAGGCGAAGCGUACGAUUGGAUUGUACGUCUAAGCAGUGAGAUUGAGUGUUAGGCAAAUCCGGCACUCUUAAGAUUGAGCUGUGAUGGGGAGAGGAAAUUGUUUCCUCGAGUCGUUGAUUUCACACUGCCGAGAAAAGCCUCUAGAUAGAGAUUAGGUGCCCGUACCGCAAACCGACACAGGUAGUCAAGAUGAGAAUUCUAAGGUGAGCGAGCGAACUCUCGUUAAGGAACUCGGCAAAAUGACCCCGUAACUUCGGGAGAAGGGGUGCUCUUUAGGGUGCAAGCCCAGAAGAGCCGCAGUGAAUAGGCCCAAGCGACUGUUUAUCAAAAACACAGGUCUCUGCUAAACCGUAAGGUGAUGUAUAGGGGCUGACGCCUGCCCGGUGCUGGAAGGUUAAGAGGAGUGGUUAGCUUCUGCGAAGCUACGAAUCGAAGCCCCAGUAAACGGCGGCCGUAACUAUAACGGUCCUAAGGUAGCGAAAUUCCUUGUCGGGUAAGUUCCGACCCGCACGAAAGGCGUAACGAUUUGGGCACUGUCUCAACGAGAGACUCGGUGAAAUCAUAGUACCUGUGAAGAUGCAGGUUACCCGCGACAGGACGGAAAGACCCCGUGGAGCUUUACUGUAGCCUGAUAUUGAAAUUCGGCACAGCUUGUACAGGAUAGGUAGGAGCCUUUGAAACGUGAGCGCUAGCUUACGUGGAGGCGUUGGUGGGAUACUACCCUAGCUGUGUUGGCUUUCUAACCCGCACCACUUAUCGUGGUGGGAGACAGUGUCAGGCGGGCAGUUUGACUGGGGCGGUCGCCUCCUAAAAGGUAACGGAGGCGCUCAAAGGUUCCCUCAGAAUGGUUGGAAAUCAUUCAUAGAG